This 450-nucleotide ribosomal RNA is filed under the name uncultured bacterium. Its description in RNAcentral is "partial 16S ribosomal RNA". It matches the Rfam family "Bacterial small subunit ribosomal RNA", at positions 354 to 796 of the family's 1533-position model. The record is from RNAcentral.
GUGGGGAAUCUUCCGCAAUGGACGAAAGUCUGACGGAGCAACGCCGCGUGAGUGAUGAAGGUCUUCGGAUUGUAAAGCUCUGUUAAUCGGGACGAAAGAGCCUAGUGUGAAUAAUGCUAGGAAGUGACGGUACCGGAAUAGAAAGCCACGGCUAACUACGUGCCAGCAGCCGCGGUAAUACGUAGGUGGCAAGCGUUGUCCGGAAUUAUUGGGCGUAAAGCGCGCGCAGGCGGAUCUGCCAGUCUGUCUUAAAAGUUCGGGGCUUAACACCGUGAUGGGAUGGAAACUACAGAUCUAGAGUAUCGGAGAGGAAAGUGGAAUUCCUAGUGUAGCGGUGAAAUGCGUAGAUAUUAGGAAGAACACCAGUGGCGAAGGCGACUUUCUGGACGAAAACUGACGCUGAGGCGCGAAAGCCAGGGGAGCGAACGGGAUUAGAAACCCCAGUAGUCC